RNAcentral lists this RNase P RNA (392 nucleotides) under Bacteroidales bacterium. RNAcentral's name for it is "RNase P RNA component class A". It matches the Rfam family "Bacterial RNase P class A". From Rfam's summary of the family: Ribonuclease P (RNase P) is a ubiquitous endoribonuclease, found in archaea, bacteria and eukarya as well as chloroplasts and mitochondria. Its best characterised activity is the generation of mature 5'-ends of tRNAs by cleaving the 5'-leader elements of precursor-tRNAs. The record is from RNAcentral. Lineage: Bacteria; Pseudomonadati; Bacteroidota; Bacteroidia; Bacteroidales.
ACAGAGAUGUGGACAGUCGNCUCACACCGGGAGUGUGAGGAGGAAAGUCCGGGCAACAUAGAGCAGCAUAUUNUCUAACGGAAAGCCGGGGGCGACCUCGGGGAUAAGUGACAGAAAACGACCGCCGGAAGUCCUUUCACUUCUCAGCGAGANAGAGACAGACCUCCGGUAAGGGUGAAAAGGCGGGGUAAGAGCCCACCGGUCUNCCANGGCGACNUGUGGAGGCCGCACNUCCNAUGNGUUGCAAGGCCAAAUAUACCGGCAGUUAAGGAUUGCUCGUCCAUUGCCGGGGGGUAGGCUGCUUGAGACGACGGGCAACCGUCGCCCUUAGAUAAAUGACUGUCAGCGGUCAGUGACCGUCACAUAACCCGGCUUACAGCAUCUCUGCCGGC